This 699-nucleotide ribosomal RNA is filed under the name Triticum aestivum (bread wheat). RNAcentral's name for it is "partial small subunit ribosomal RNA". Lineage: Eukaryota; Viridiplantae; Streptophyta; Magnoliopsida; Poales; Poaceae. The record is from RNAcentral.
AUGCGUUAUGUGAAUCCUGCUUCGGGUUGCUCGGCCAAGGCCAUGGACACUCUGCAGAUUAUGUCAGUCAAAGUUGCAGCAAUCAACGGGGGCUUGCACUGGCCACUACAAGAUUGCUACCUAGCACUGUCCGGUCCUAGCCGUGCCAUUGUCGUCUCAUAUGAUCCUACAUACGUUGAGGUUUCGCUCAAAGUGAAGGGCGCUAUUGAAUCUGAGGAUAAAGAUUUAAGUGCUCUCAUUGUGGUGUUUAGAGCUGGAGCCUGUCCUCAAAAUGUCUACCCUAGCAGGCUUAGCACGCUGGAAAUGAAUUUUGAUCACAUUUAUCAAUCGGUGGAGGCCACGGUCUUUAUAAGAAUUAUUGGCGGGUCGUGGCCGGAUGGCUUUCGGGGUGUAUUUAGUGCUGCCUCCAGUAGGGAUGACACCCUGCAAGUCAAGUUACUUGAGUUUGAAGAUGGUAGGUUGCCUGCUGACUCUAACGGUGUGAUCGCGCUCACACGACGUGUGGUCUCUGUUGCGCUUCAGAGGAACUUGAAGGUUUCUGUAAUGGCAUUUCCAAGAAACGUGGGAUAUGCUGCUGAGACCAGUGAAGCAGUUUUACAACCUCAUAGAGCCGGUGUAAGCCCCCCAGGAGUCAAUCUCUGUGUUGGCUCGUGUAGUAUGGAAUGGUAUUGUGGCAUUUUUUCUAGUGGUGUAUGCUAG